CGGGCGAUGCUAACCAUGCAUGCUACAGAGGUGGAGGGAGGUGAUCUUCUGUCUUAGCUGAGUAUUUGUGCAAUUAUUCGCCUUCAUGUGGGAUAGUGGAAUGAACGAUUGCUCAAUCUGGACCUGGGAAUGUUAAAGCUACAGGAUUUCACUGGAGGAAGCCCUUUCCUGAAAUACCAUGACCUUCAGAUGUAAGCUUAUGUAAAUAUCUGUGGAAUCUCAGACGCAGAUGAUGGUCUGAGUGACCUGCAGACUCUGAAGACCAGCCUGAUAUUGGGAAGACUUGAACGGACUGAGGGAAAACUCCCGUCCAGGUAAUUAUUAUCAGUGUCUUAAUGUUUUCAAUUUCUUUUUACCAACACAGUAUUCUGCAAUUUAACAUAAGAUUGUUCUGAC
Long non-coding RNA from Salarias fasciatus (jewelled blenny), 396 nucleotides. RefSeq lists it as uncharacterized. The transcript is spliced from 4 exons. The record is from RefSeq and is a predicted model, not a curated record. NCBI's taxonomy places the organism in Eukaryota, Metazoa, Chordata, Actinopteri, Blenniiformes, Blenniidae.